RNAcentral lists this ribosomal RNA (430 nucleotides) under bacterium. RNAcentral describes it as "partial 16S ribosomal RNA". It matches the Rfam family "Bacterial small subunit ribosomal RNA", at positions 355 to 776 of the family's 1533-position model. The record is from RNAcentral.
UGGGGAAUAUUGGACAAUGGGCGGAAGCCUGAUCCAGCCAUGCCGCGUGUGUGAAGAAGGCCUUUUGGUUGUAAAGCACUUUAAGCGAGGAGGAGGCUACUUGGAUUAAUACUCUAGGAUAGUGGACGUUACUCGCAGAAUAAGCACCGGCUAACUCUGUGCCAGCAGCCGCGGUAAUACAGAGGGUGCGAGCGUUAAUCGGAUUUACUGGGCGUAAAGCGUGCGUAGGCGGCUUCUUAAGUCGGAUGUGAAAUCCCUGAGCUUAACUUAGGAAUUGCAUUCGAUACUGGGAAGCUAGAGUAUGGGAGAGGAUGGUAGAAUUCCAGGUGUAGCGGUGAAAUGCGUAGAGAUCUGGAGGAAUACCGAUGGCGAAGGCAGCCAUCUGGCCUAAUAUUGACGCUGAGGUACGAAAGCAUGGGGAGCAAACAGG